GUGGGGAAUUUUGGACAAUGGGCGCAAGCCUGAUCCAGCCAUGCCGCGUGAGUGAAGAAGGCCUUCGGGUUGUAAAGCUCUUUCAGACGGAAAGAAACGGUCACGGCUAAUAUCUGUGGCUAAUGACGGUACCGUCAGAAGAAGCACCGGCUAACUACGUGCCAGCAGCCGCGGUAAUACGUAGGGUGCGAGCGUUAAUCGGAAUUACUGGGCGUAAAGCGUGCGCAGGCGGUUUCGUAAGACAGAUGUGAAAUCCCCGGGCUUAACCUGGGAACUGCAUUUGUGACUGCGAGACUAGAGUGUAGCAGAGGGGGGUAGAAUUCCACGUGUAGCAGUGAAAUGCGUAGAGAUGUGGAGGAAUACCGAUGGCGAAGGCAGCCCCCUGGGCUAACACUGACGCUCAUGCACGAAAGCGUGGGGAGCAAACAGGAUUAGAUACCCCUGUAGUCC
RNAcentral lists this ribosomal RNA (450 nucleotides) under uncultured Gallionellaceae bacterium. RNAcentral's name for it is "bacterial SSU rRNA". It matches the Rfam family "Bacterial small subunit ribosomal RNA", at positions 354 to 796 of the family's 1533-position model. Lineage: Bacteria; Pseudomonadati; Pseudomonadota; Betaproteobacteria; Nitrosomonadales; Gallionellaceae. The record is from RNAcentral.